Molecule: RNase P RNA, 386 nt
Filed under: Lewinellaceae bacterium SD302
Lineage: Bacteria; Pseudomonadati; Bacteroidota; Saprospiria; Saprospirales; Lewinellaceae
Description: Bacterial RNase P class A
Rfam family: Bacterial RNase P class A
About the family: Ribonuclease P (RNase P) is a ubiquitous endoribonuclease, found in archaea, bacteria and eukarya as well as chloroplasts and mitochondria.
Source: Rfam by way of RNAcentral
CUGACCGCCUACUUCAUCGCCGGCCGACUUCGAGAGCGGCAGGAGGAAAGUCCGGGCAACACAGGGCACCACGCCGGCUAACGGCCGGGGUCGAUCGGAUUCAGUCCGGGCGAUAUGGAAAGUGCCACAGAAAAGAUACCGCCCUUCUUUGGAGGGGUAAGGGUGAAAUCGUGCGGUAAGAGCGCACGCGCUUCGGCGGCAACGUCGAUUUGGGUAAACCCCGUGGGUUGAAAUACCAAGCAUUGUCCUCGUUUCGGCGGCCCGCCGGCAGUGGCAAGGGUAGGUAGUUUGAGCCCGUCGGCAACGGCGGGCCUGGAUAAAUGAUGAAGCCUUCUUCGGUUUUGCCGGGGGAGUGACAGAACCCGGCUUAUCGGGCGGUCAACUUA